UUCUCAUGACUCCCAAUCUCCCAUCUCCAGCUCUCCACUCUCCAUUCUCCACUUUCAUCUCUCGCCCUUUUUGCUGUCCGUUGGCUGCCGUCCGUCGACGUCCGGUCUUCACUCUAGCCUGAUCUGGUUUCUGCGGACUGCUUUUUCUGGUUUCUGCCUUCAUCUUGAACAAGUCCAAGUUUGUCUCUGGUUAACUGGUUUCUGGUUGGGUUUCUUGUUGCUGUCGACUGCCCUACCCUCAUCAAAGUGACUGGUAAGUUUUAUUCAUUCUGCUGCCACCAUCAAUAAAGUUUGUUUAUGUAUCAUUCAUCUUGAGAAUCACCAACGUCUCUACCUCUCUAAACAGGCAAGCGUGUUUCUUUUAUAGAGAAUUUCUUUAUCUACCGAAACAUGGAUUGGACUUAAUAGAAGAACCCCCUCUUGUUUCAUUUCUGGAAAAUGAAAUUAGUCAAAUUUAUAUAAAAAAUUUUAUUUUGAUCACCUUUGUUCUAAAUUAAAAUUACAUUCUAGUGGACAAUAUAUGCUCAUCCCAAAGCUGUAAACAUCGCUUUUCUUGUUUAGGUUCCCUGAACAUUGAAAUCUAUAUGGAAAACAUAAAUGGUUUCUGUCAGUAGGAGUUUUGUAAAAAUUAGAUGAAUGAAACAAGCAUAAAAGUCUUUUAAUGUUACUUUUAUCAAUUCUUUCAAUAUCGUUUUUGCUUAUCCAAUGAUGCUGAAAAGUUAAAUUAUUAGGGAUUAUUUGGAUGAGCCUAGUCCCAGAGCCUUUAGAGAUGAAAGAUCAGAUGACGCAUCCAAAGCCUAACACUCGGGAUUUGAAAGUUAACAUGAUACAAUCUAUGAGGCUAAGAUAACAUUUAGCCAACAGGAAAUGUUACUAGGUUUAGACAGCAAUUAUGUGAGAAUUCUCAUCAUGAUUUAGGUAGCAGAUCAGUUAUAAUUAAAGAUUUAAAAAAUUAAACAAAUUCAGAUAAAUUUCAUCAAGUUUUAGACUAGUACUCAAGAUCGGUUUCGUAUACUUGUGUUAAUUGGACAAGGUUGUGACAUUCAUUUAUUUAAAAUUUUUGUGACAUUCAGAAGAAAAGAUGGGGGUGCUGCUGGAGCAUAUAUUGGUUCUUACUUCUGAAAUGAGUGCUUCUGGUGGUUGGUGCUAAUGUUAGUAAUGUCUAUUUUUGCUAGUAUGUAUUUUUGUUAGUAAUGUCUUGUGUCAUCUCAAUGGUUGAAGUUGGUAGACAAUUUCUUUUUGGAAUGUUAUUAUUAAUUUAAUCUAGGCUACUUCAUUUUAUACAUAGUUUGCUGACCCUUUUACAUUACUUACUCUGUUGCAAGCAUAUGUGGAACAGUUUCAGAAUAAUUAAAAGAAACAUGGGAACCUUUUCAUUUCUGUAUCCAAUUUCCU
Molecule: long non-coding RNA, 1395 nt
Filed under: Theobroma cacao (cacao)
Lineage: Eukaryota; Viridiplantae; Streptophyta; Magnoliopsida; Malvales; Malvaceae
Description: long non-coding RNA (TCAC_LNC004238)
Source: RNAcentral